UGGUGGAGUGAUUUGUCUGCUUAAUUGCGAUAACGAACGAGACCUUAACCUGCUAAAUAGCCCGGCCCGCCCAGGCGGGUCGCCGGCUUCUUAGAGGGACUAUCGGCUCAAGCCGAUGGAAGUUUGAGGCAAUAACA
Molecule: ribosomal RNA, 137 nt
Filed under: uncultured eukaryote
Lineage: Eukaryota
Description: partial 18S ribosomal RNA
Rfam family: Eukaryotic small subunit ribosomal RNA
Source: RNAcentral